Long non-coding RNA from Macaca mulatta (Rhesus monkey), 931 nucleotides. RefSeq lists it as uncharacterized. The record is from RefSeq and is a predicted model, not a curated record. Lineage: Eukaryota; Metazoa; Chordata; Mammalia; Primates; Cercopithecidae.
GGGAUGAGGUCAUUCAAAAGUCACAUGUUCUUGAGACGGAGGCUGUGUGUACUAGACAUCACCAUAAAGUGAUAUCAGCCCUAAAUUAAAGUAGCAGUUAUUCAUUUUUUACCUGAGCCCCUAAGUCUUGUUCCGUGAAACCAGUGAAGGGCUAUUCGAAAGCAUACUUUCUAGUACAGCUCUCGCUGGCUUGAAAGAUGAAACUCUCCUUAGUCAUUCUGAAGCAUUACUGCAGUCCAGAUGUAUAGUUCAUAUCUUCCAGCAAACGUCUGUGGGAAUUAUUUCCUUCCAGAGGUAUUAGAUUAUAUUUUUCCAAGUCAACUCUUCCUGGCUGCCCUUCAAGGUUCUAAAGAUUCUCUACUAUUGUAGUGUAACUAGUAAGAGGCAAAACCAUGAGAAUCAGAGAGAACUGCGCUUCAUGAUGCUAUGCAAUCCCCAGGAGAAGCACGUUGAAAGCUGAAAAGAAGACUGAGAUGUGUUGGCGGGCUUCUCAAGAUCCCUAUCGAUGGCAGAAGGCUGACAUGAGUUGCCCAUAGUACGGGUUUCCCAAUGUAGCAGAUGACUCUAGCAGCUCUAGCUUCAGCAUCUUCGUAAGUUCAAGUGAAAAGGAAAAGAGAAUCUCUUUUUCUUCAACAAUUUCAAACUAAAAUCUUGAGUCUGACUUUUCCUGGCCAGAAUUAAAUUUUUACUUAUCCCUGAAAAACCAUCAAUGCUACGUUCGUGAAUUUACCAAUUGAGGCAGAAUUUAGGUCACAUGACUCUCCAAAGCCUCUUCAAAACCACAUGACUCAGAGUGAGGCAGAGGUAUUUGGGAUAUUUUCAACAGGAGAAAGGAAAAUGAAUGGAGGGUGCCAAAACAACUUAUGUCAAUUAUACAAUUAUAAGUACAACCAAAAGAAAGUAUGGAAAUCAGUAUUUUCACCUAUCUUAA